Long non-coding RNA from Leopardus geoffroyi (Geoffroy's cat), 477 nucleotides. RefSeq lists it as uncharacterized. The record is from RefSeq and is a predicted model, not a curated record. The transcript has 3 exons. Lineage: Eukaryota; Metazoa; Chordata; Mammalia; Carnivora; Felidae.
CAGAUUUUUAGCAGACUCUUUUUUGCAAGGCUGGACUGGAAAGGCAGGUAGGCAAGCUAUUCAAAAUGCACUGGGCACUGUGCAUACUACUGCACCAUCUGUUGGGGGAAAAUGAAGAGGAACAGAUACAUUGCCCUACACCUUGAUAAGCACCUGCAACACGUGCAUGUGCGGGCUGCUGGAGGAGUGCACUGGAGGAGCUUUCAUUCUUACCACUGUGUGGGUGGGCGAGGAAGAACAGGUGUGAGCAUUUGCCAACAGAGGCACCCAUAGAGCCCCCAGGUGUUCAUGCUCCUGCUUAAUGUCAGGGCCAAGGAGAGGCCUUUUGGGAUUUUCUUUUGCCUAACAUCUUGGAAAAGAAUCUUCAUCUUCAAAGUAGAGAUCCUAAUAUCUGCCCUGACUACAUCUCAAAGUUUUUAACAAGAUCCAGCGAGAUCCAGCAUAUGCUACUAUGAAAACUGAAAAACGCUCAACCAA